RNAcentral lists this long non-coding RNA (480 nucleotides) under Salmo salar (Atlantic salmon). RNAcentral's name for it is "lncRNA (ENSSSAG00000103126.1)". The record is from RNAcentral. Lineage: Eukaryota; Metazoa; Chordata; Actinopteri; Salmoniformes; Salmonidae.
GUGUUGUUUUACAGGGUCAGCCAUAGUAGUAUGAUAGGUGUUGUUUUACAGGGUCAGCCAUAGUAGUAUGAUAGGUGUUGUUGUACAGGGUCAGCCAUAGUAGUAUGAUAGGUGUUGUUGUACAGGGUCAGUCAUAGUAGUAUGAUAGGUGUUGUUUUACAGGGUCAGCCAUAGUAGUAUGAUAGGUGUUGUUGUACAGGGUCAGUCAUAGUAGUAUGAUAGGUGUUGUUUUACAGGGUCAGUCAUAGUAGUAUGAUAGGUGUUGUUUUACAGGGUCAGCCAUAGUAGUAUGAUAGGUGUUGUUGUACAGGGUCAAUCAUAGUAGUAUGAUAGGUGUUGUUUUACAGGGUCAGCCAUAGCUGUUUUUCUGAUCUUUACAGUUUUUUGACUCCAUGGAAACCAUGUACUGUGUAUCAGUCUGUUUGGUUUCAUGCGACACUGAAAUGAAUGAGAAACAGAAAGAGCCCUGGAAGUAGCCUC